UCUACACACAGGAAAUGAACUCUCUAACCUAGGAAGUGACCAGGUAAAAAUAUGUCAAGAUAAACUUCAAUAGGACUGCUCAAUCACCCAAAGUCCUGAUACACCUACAACUCAUUAAGUGUAGCUGGCCAGGUGUAUUAGACAGAAGCUGUAUGUAACCUCUUCAAUAGUCAGAGGAUGUCAAAAGGCCUUACUUUGGUUACUGGGACCUGGAAUGAUUGCCAGAAGACAAGGGUGUGAGAGCGUGGGAAGCACUCUGGAAAUGCUUUACCUCCAGGUGUCCCUUCCAAAGAUAUGGUCAAAAACAAAGAGAUCAGCACAAACGAACACAGGUGGAUCUUUUCAGGAGUAUAAGAAACUGGGUUACCUUUGAAUGACCUUGACCUCUGACCCAUUGGUAUUCUGAUGUUAGUAACACCUGUUUCCAUGAAUCUGCUCUAGAAGCUGGCCUAUAGAUGCACAUGAAACACCUGAGGCAGACAAAGGAAGGGUGCUGAAGGACUGAUGAUCUGUGGUCAGCCAUUAUGGGGAGACAUUUUGGCACUAACGAUAAGGUCAUACGUUGACGGUAAAGCACACCAAAUAAGGUAACUAUCUGCUAUAAAACAGACAUACUACAUCCUGUCCACGGAAUGAAAGCCUUCCAGUUUGGCUUAUACUUGCUGAUCAAUCACGAUCUACAUGUUUUUCAAAGCUUUUUCUCUGCCAACCAUUGCAAUAAAACGUCUUUCUCUCUUUCAAUCCUGAUCCUUAACAUUGCUAUUUUGUGUGGAGAUGUGCUUUAGAUACUCUGAUCAGGCUUAGAGCCAGCCUAUAGAGAGUUGGAUCGGGUCACAGACAGCUUGUCACCCAUUAGGCCUAUAUAGCUGUGUGAGGACAGCCCAUUUCAGGGCUAUUAUUAGAGAUUUAUAGUGAGGUCCAGUGCGACUGUGAUCCGACAGAUUAGGGUAAUGAUGAUUGGUGGUGAGCGUGAUCAGGUCCUGUGUCAUAAGUUCAGCAGUACUCUGAAGGCUAAUACAGCCGUCUGUUCCAGAUACAUUUAUAAUCCAAAAUUGUUUAAGUUAACUUUAAACACAUUAUCUAAACAGAUCAAGGAUUAUUGACCUAUAUCAAUGUAGCACAACUGAACAUGUUGUUUUUUGAACAAUUUUAAAAGGUAGGGUUAGAAGAUUAUGUUUGCAGGUUUUUCAUGAGCCUCAUAAAAAAUACUAUUUUGAGCCACCACUUAAUCAGAAAUUGUUUCCGUUAAUUGAAAAGUGUUUUCUCUGACAGCUAUCCUGAUUGGUUGAGUAUCUGUGGUGAAGAAGACCUGGAGGACGGCCUGGAGGGAGUCGGUUUAUGGGGUGGAGGAGUCAUGUUUUAUAUCCCAGUAAUGAAUUGCUUUCCAGGAGGAGGUGACGUUCAUAGGUGAUCUGGGGAUAGUUUAUGUGGACUGGGAUAUCAUCUUAAAUCACCUCUUACAUUCAAAGCUGUGGCCAAUAUGCUUUAUGAAGUAAGGAAAGUUUAAGAUAGGGAAUCAUAUAUGGCAUUGAAAGACAUGAAAUAUGUACGGCACUAGGUGAAUGUCAGCUUAACAUCUUAUUACAUAAUAAAUGGAAAACAUAUUAGCACUCAAAACUGACAUUAAGGUUUCCUUAGAAGUGUAUGUUAUGAGCCCUCUAGUGGUUCCCUAUAAACUAAGUUUUCCCCUUAUUAGCUUUGAAUAAAUACUAAUAGAUUCGAGGUGGAGGUCAAAUUUUGAAAUAAUAAUGUGUUUAAGAGAGCAAACAGAUAUUUUGAGGAGUAAAAGCAUAGCUAGGAAUUGUGCAUAUGAAACUUCUCAGAAUCAAGAUAUUAAGUUAUUGUUGGUUACAAUUGUGAAAUGAUUGAUGAAGAUGCUCAGAAGAUGCAAUCGUCAUGCAGAAGUAAUUAUACACACCACACAAACUACAAACAUUAUCAUGAAAUAUGUGGAAGACAGAAAAUUGCAUCAAAUUGCAAACCAAAAGGAAAGCAAGCUAAAUUAGGUGCAACAAAGGUCCUG
Mizuhopecten yessoensis (Yesso scallop) is the source of this 2023-nucleotide long non-coding RNA. RefSeq lists it as uncharacterized. The transcript is spliced from 3 exons. The record is from RefSeq and is a predicted model, not a curated record. Lineage: Eukaryota; Metazoa; Mollusca; Bivalvia; Pectinida; Pectinidae.